GAGAGAGCGAGAGCGAGAGCUUGUGUGUGUGUGUGUGAGAGCGAGAGCUUGUCUGUGUAUGUGUGUCCCAAUAAUCUCUAUUUUCUCCUGAAGUGAAUACUCCUAAAGAACUUCCCACAAAUCUAAAGACAUUGUAUUUGUUGAGGAAUGGGCUAGAGGGAGUUUCCACCAGCCAUUUCCUUACACAUCAGUGAAGGGAAGUGAACAAGUACACACUAUGGGGGAAGAAGUGCUAAUUGGGACAUAACCAGUGUGUUUAUGUGAAAAAGAAUGUGUGUCUCCAAAUCUGUCCUCGGGACAGGUGGGUGGAGUUGAGUGACAGGUGCAGGAACGCUAAUUGGCUAGCAGCCAUAGAGUUCAUUACGGUGAUAGGUGGUAUGGGGGGAUAAUAAGAAAUGACCUGCCCUUAGGCUGGCCCGUAACAUAGUGAUUUGCAUAUUUUAUAUGUUUAAUCAAGACUGUUAGUAUAUGAAAGAUGUCAUUUAUUGUAUUUAUUUUCAUGGUCCCUGCUGGGAUUUUAGAAGACAAUGUAUAUGUUUGUGUGUAUUAGUUUGUUUGUGUGUUGGGCUGUUCUUUUCCCAGUAUACAUAGGGAGACGUAUUCAGAACCCGCUGGCUGAGCUGGUGAAGACUGACCCAAACACAUCAGCAUUGGAAACUACCAGAGCCGUGAUGUAAUUAGGCGAUGGAAACAAACAGAAUGUGUCUGUGCCCUUUGUCCGGAUAGAGGUGGAGAAGAGAGGAGUGAUGGGUGCUGACUGUACCCCUAGAGAAGCUCUCGUUGAAGUUGGACACUGGAGCUGGAGGCAGCGCAGUGCAUUCUGGGUGGUGGACAUUCCGUUGAAUAACAGAACCUCUGUGCAGAAGGACAAUGAUAGACGGAGAUGUCUGGGUGUAUUCAAACAAACUGAGAAAGCAUAAUAAACCACAGACCCACUCGGA
This 941-nucleotide long non-coding RNA is filed under the name Salmo salar (Atlantic salmon). RNAcentral describes it as "lncRNA (ENSSSAG00000115356.1)". The record is from RNAcentral. Lineage: Eukaryota; Metazoa; Chordata; Actinopteri; Salmoniformes; Salmonidae.